Molecule: non-coding RNA, 1730 nt
Organism: Ictidomys tridecemlineatus (thirteen-lined ground squirrel)
Lineage: Eukaryota; Metazoa; Chordata; Mammalia; Rodentia; Sciuridae
Source: RefSeq, a predicted model, not a curated record
AGGAAAGACUAAUGCCUGAAAAUGCUCCUCAUAGAUGAAACGAUAUAUGGAAAUGUAACUUACAGAAUUAUAUGGAACGUCUGUCAUCUUUUCUGUGUAUGUGGAACAGUCAUCCAGGAAAACACUGCUGUUCAGUGUACACCAAGGAACAAGGACACCCGUGACUAGAAGAUGGCUGAGCUUAUUUCAUAGAUCUAAAGAGUUCUUAGUCCUGGUGAAGAAAUGAAAAGCUGGAAUUUUUUUGAAUCCUUACAAUUUUGCUGGAAAGUGUUCUAAUAUAUGGAUCUUUUUCUCAACUCAAUUUUUGUCCUGGCUAUGAAGAUAUCAGUUCUUAAUAAGUGUGAUAUUUCUGUUUGGAGUUUCAAACUCAAGAGUGGUAAACAGACCAGGGGUGCGGUGGGAAGGGCUACACUUUUAAAACCAGGGGUUAUUUGUUUGAAAAAGGAGAAAUUUUUGAGAGAGAGAAAGAAAUUUACUGACUAAUUAAUUAAAUAUAAAUUUUAUAUUUUGUAACGUUGCCUGUUUAAGAUGAGGUCUACUUCCUCCUGCCAGAGUAAGAGCAUGGUCCCACAGGAGGAAAAAAAUGAGAGGUACAAUUUUAGGACUAUUACUUUCACUCCUGAGAAAGAACCUACAUGAAUGCUUAUUAGUAAUAAUAUACCUUAAAUUUUACUAACAGAAAGUAUCAGUAAUUGAAAAUAGAUUAUCUUCCCACUGACAAAAUAUGUAAUACUUACUAUCCCUAUCAUAUAUUAAAAUGCAUUUGGCACAUUGUGGAUACCUUUGUCUAAGGCUUUUCUUGCUAGUACAUUAAUUUACCUCUUGGUGACUUUUCAUUUUUAUUUUAAAAGAUUGCAACAUAAGAAUGAAGACUAUUUCAUGGACUGUGUCAAUCCUCCAUAGUGCUCACUAUACAUAGUGAUUAAUAUAGUCUAAUGGAUGCCAUAUCUACAAUACUGUUGACAAUAAAGUAAUACCUGCCAUUUUAUCAAGCAUCCCUGAUAUGAUAGGCAUUCUGAUGGGUACUGUACAUAUAUAAUUUGUACAUCUUAAAACAACCCAGAUAGAAAAGUGUCAGCAUCCCUUUUUGAAACAUGAAGAAAUUGCCUUGAGGUUAAUGGCAAGUCUCAUGUCACAUGAAUCGUAGGCAGAUGAGCCAAGUUUACUCUGACUCUAAGCAUAGGCAUCAUUACCACCAAUAAUAGAAAAGUAUCUAAGAAAAUAGUAUUUGAGAAAGGUCUCAAAUUGCUGACCAUUGUGUUUUUAAUCCACUUUAAUUCCAGAUGCCAAAGUAAUUUCUAAAUAUUAUUCUAAAGUCUCUCUCAUGUCUAAGAGAUCAGAGUAGCCUCCAAACUCACUUAAUAAAAGAUUAUGGCCUCCAUAAUCUUGUUUUCAAGAUCUUUCCCUUUAAUUAAUUUCAAUUUUUAUCUUUUAUCAUUCUACUUUAAGUCUUUUCAAUUUUUUUUUUAAAUCCCAGCUAAUGUCAUGAAAGUUCAACUCCCAGAGAUGUCUUCAAUCCUCCAACGUGGAGGAGGCAGUGUGGUAUGGAGAAAGAAGGGAAAAGGUUUGAAAAUUCUAGAAUACCCUUACAGCUACAUUUCUUAAGUUUUUCCCUGAACACCCUAUUUCCUUAGUCAUUCUGUAUCCCUUCACCCUAAGUUUCACUAAUUAACGAUGUUAGAUUAAUAACACUACACUGUUCUGUGUGAAUAAACAAACUUCAUAUCUCA